RNAcentral lists this ribosomal RNA (253 nucleotides) under uncultured bacterium. RNAcentral's name for it is "partial 16S ribosomal RNA". It matches the Rfam family "Bacterial small subunit ribosomal RNA", at positions 524 to 776 of the family's 1533-position model. The record is from RNAcentral.
UACAGAGGUCUCAAGCGUUGUUCGGAAUUACUGGGCGUAAAGCGCGCGUAGGCGGAUCGCUAAGUCAGGGGUGAAAUCCCAGGGCUCAACCCUGGAACUGCCUUUGAUACUGACGAUCUGGAGAUCGGGAGAGGUGAGUGGAAUUCCGAGUGUAGAGGUGAAAUUCGUAGAUAUUCGGAGGAACACCAGAAGCGAAGGCGGCUCACUGGCCCGAUACUGACGCUGAGGCGCGAAAGUGUGGGGAGCGAACAGG